AAGAUCAAAGAAAUAAUAACACGAUUGCAUUUAAUAUAAUUAUUCAAUUAUGGAUGCUCUUCGCGCGUUCAUUGUAACGCCAUCUGUGAUAGCGUUAUAUGAAGUAAUAUUUGCAGCAUUUGCAGUCGCAAUUAACCACAUCAUGAAAAUAUAAAUAGAUGUUGUAUGGAGCAAUUAUUACUAGUGACUCGUAUUCUAACCAAACAAUUGACGACAUUCCGAGAACGUCAACUUUCUCUCGUAAUCAUAAAUAAUUGCAACGCAACGUUCAUACAAAGAGUAUUUCCGAUAAUUAUCGCCAAUGUUUCCCAGUGUUUCUUAUGUUUAUUAUCCAAAGAAUUCAUAAUUUCUCAACAAUAUCAGUCCUUCUACUUUAUCUUUGAACAUCUAUAAUUUAAUACUCUUAUGCAAAUAGUAAGUUUUCUCAAUGGUAAUUAAUUUUAA
Molecule: long non-coding RNA, 444 nt
Organism: Bombus impatiens (common eastern bumble bee)
Lineage: Eukaryota; Metazoa; Arthropoda; Insecta; Hymenoptera; Apidae
Exons: 3
Source: RefSeq, a predicted model, not a curated record